UACGUAGGCAGCAAGCGUUGUUCGGAGUUACUGGGCGUAAAGAGUGCGUAGGUGGUGCCCUAAGUCUGUUGUGAAAUCUCCCGGCUUAACUGGGAGGGUGCGUUGGAAACUGGGGUGCUUGAGUGUGGGAGAGGUAAGCGGAAUUCCUGGUGUAGCGGUGAAAUGCGUAGAUAUCAGGAGGAACACCAAUAGCGAAGGCAGCUCGCUGGGACGUUACUGACACUGAGGCGCGAAAGCGUGGGGAGCGAACAGG
This 253-nucleotide ribosomal RNA is filed under the name uncultured bacterium. RNAcentral's name for it is "partial 16S ribosomal RNA". It matches the Rfam family "Bacterial small subunit ribosomal RNA", at positions 524 to 776 of the family's 1533-position model. The record is from RNAcentral.